RNAcentral lists this ribosomal RNA (255 nucleotides) under uncultured bacterium. RNAcentral describes it as "partial 16S ribosomal RNA". It matches the Rfam family "Bacterial small subunit ribosomal RNA", at positions 524 to 776 of the family's 1533-position model. The record is from RNAcentral.
UACGAGUGCCCCAAGCGUUAUCCGGAAUUAUUGGGUGUAAAGGGUGUGUAGGCGGUCUUGUUAGUCGUGUGUUAAAUCUCUGGGCCUAACCCAGAACUCGCACGCGAUACGGCAAGACUAGAAGAUGCGAGAGGUCUGUAGAACUCAUAGUGUAGGGGUGAAAUCCGUUGAUAUUAUGGGGAAUACCAAAAGCGAAGGCGAGCAGACUGGGCGCACUCUUGACGUUGAAACACGAAAGCGUGGGUAGCGAACUGG